RNAcentral lists this ribosomal RNA (207 nucleotides) under uncultured bacterium. RNAcentral's name for it is "partial 16S ribosomal RNA". It matches the Rfam family "Bacterial small subunit ribosomal RNA", at positions 568 to 774 of the family's 1533-position model. The record is from RNAcentral.
CGUGUAGGCGGCGGUCUUAGUCAGGCGUGAAAGCCCGAGGCUCAACCUCGGAAUAGCGCUUGAUACUGGAUUGCUUGAGACCGGAAGAGGGUAGUGGAAUUCCCAGUGUAGAGGUGAAAUUCGUAGAUAUUGGGAAGAACACCAGUGGCGAAGGCGGCUACCUGGUCCGGAUCUGACGCUGAGGCGCGAAAGCGUGGGGAGCAAACA